This 464-nucleotide ribosomal RNA is filed under the name Vreelandella stevensii. RNAcentral describes it as "partial 16S ribosomal RNA". It matches the Rfam family "Bacterial small subunit ribosomal RNA", at positions 339 to 795 of the family's 1533-position model. The record is from RNAcentral. Lineage: Bacteria; Pseudomonadati; Pseudomonadota; Gammaproteobacteria; Oceanospirillales; Halomonadaceae.
CUACGGGUGGCAGCAGUGGGGAAUAUUGGACAAUGGGGGCAACCCUGAUCCAGCCAUGCCGCGUGUGUGAAGAAGGCCCUCGGGUUGUAAAGCACUUUCAGUGAGGAAGAACGCCUGGUGGUUAAUACCCAUCAGGAAAGACAUCACUCACAGAAGAAGCACCGGCUAACUCCGUGCCAGCAGCCGCGGUAAUACGGAGGGUGCGAGCGUUAAUCGGAAUUACUGGGCGUAAAGCGCGCGUAGGUGGCUUGAUAAGCCGGUUGUGAAAGCCCCGGGCUCAACCUGGGAACGGCAUCCGGAACUGUCAAGCUAGAGUGCAGGAGAGGAAGGUAGAAUUCCCGGUGUAGCGGUGAAAUGCGUAGAGAUCGGGAGGAAUACCAGUGGCGAAGGCGGCCUUCUGGACUGACACUGACACUGAGGUGCGAAAGCGUGGGUAGCAAACAGGAUUAGAUACCCCUGUAGUC